RNAcentral lists this ribosomal RNA (253 nucleotides) under uncultured bacterium. Its description in RNAcentral is "partial 16S ribosomal RNA". It matches the Rfam family "Bacterial small subunit ribosomal RNA", at positions 524 to 776 of the family's 1533-position model. The record is from RNAcentral.
UACGUAGGCAGCAAGCGUUGUUCGGAGUUACUGGGCGUAAAGGGUGCGUAGGCGGCUUUUUAAGUUUGGUGUGAAAUCUCCCGGCUCAACUGGGAGGGUGCGCCGAAUACUGAGAGGCUAGAGUGUGGGAGAGGAAAGUGGAAUUCCUGGUGUAGCGGUGAAAUGCGUAGAUAUCAGGAGGAACACCGGUGGUGUAAACGGCUUUCUGGACCAUAACUGACGCUGAUGCACGAAAGCGUGGGGAGCAAACAGG